RNAcentral lists this long non-coding RNA (479 nucleotides) under Physcomitrium patens. RNAcentral describes it as "long non-coding RNA (PPAT_LNC000898)". Lineage: Eukaryota; Viridiplantae; Streptophyta; Bryopsida; Funariales; Funariaceae. The record is from RNAcentral.
AAGCUCUAGACUUCUUUGAUAUUAUAAACCAUUGAUUAGAAUAUAGAGCCACAAAUUGAUUAAGUAUUCUCACUUAUAUCUUUUCCUUCAAUAAAUUCACCAACUUAGGUAACAAGGCUUUUGGUACAAGAAUUAGCUUCAAAUUCUAAGGCACAUGUAUAAUAGUAAAAAUGACCAUCAGUGCAACAAUCUUUAGACUAACACAUCAAAUAUCAUCUGGUAAAGAUGCAAAAGCCUUCCAAUGUCUAGAAAUCACAUCUUAGAAUCUUUUUUUUCAAGUUCUUUCAAGAAUUAAUUCCCCACAAUCUUUAGUUUGGCCAAUGUCUCCUCUGUAAAAUUGUGUCUAAUUCUUCUUCUCUCCCUCAACUUACACCCUUUCUCAGCCUUCUUAAUAUGAUCUUUAGAAUUUAAUGGUACUUAUGUUGCUACUAACCUCACUUUUGUUGCUAUAAUUUUAUACUUGAUAUUCACCAUUACUU